GACGAACGCUGGCGGCGUGCUUAACACAUGCAAGUCGAACGGAAAGGCCCUGCGUUUGUGGGGUGCUCGAGUGGCGAACGGGUGAGUAACACGUGAGUAACCUGCCCUUGACUGUGGGAUAACUUCAGGAAACUGGGGCUAAUACCGGAUAGGAGCUCCUGCUGCAUGGUGGGGGUUGGAAAGUUUCGGCGGUUGGGGCUGGACUCGCGGCUUAUCAGCUUGUUGGUGGGGUAGUGGCUUACCAAGGCUUUGACGGGUAGCCGGCCUGAGAGGGUGACCGGCCACAUUGGGACUGAGAUACGGCCCAGACUCCUACGGGAGGCAGCAGUGGGGAAUAUUGCACAGUGGGCGGAAGCCUGAUGCAGCAACGCCGCGUGCGGGAUGACGGCCUUCGGGUUGUAAACCGAUGUCGCCUGUGACGAAGAGUGAGUGACGGUAAUGGGUAAAGAAGCACCGGCUAACUACGUG
This 468-nucleotide ribosomal RNA is filed under the name uncultured bacterium. Its description in RNAcentral is "partial 16S ribosomal RNA". It matches the Rfam family "Bacterial small subunit ribosomal RNA", at positions 28 to 507 of the family's 1533-position model. The record is from RNAcentral.